This 893-nucleotide small RNA is filed under the name Ascochyta sp. 1 NV-2015. RNAcentral describes it as "eukaryotic LSU rRNA". It matches the Rfam family "Eukaryotic large subunit ribosomal RNA", at positions 50 to 960 of the family's 3401-position model. Lineage: Eukaryota; Fungi; Ascomycota; Dothideomycetes; Pleosporales; Didymellaceae. The record is from RNAcentral.
GCGGAGGAAAAGAAACCAACAGGGAUUGCCCUAGUAACGGCGAGUGAAGCGGCAACAGCUCAAAUUUGAAAUCUGGCGUCUUUGGCGUCCGAGUUGUAAUUUGCAGAGGGCGCUUUGGCGUUGGCAGCGGUCCAAGUUCCUUGGAACAGGACGUCACAGAGGGUGAGAAUCCCGUACGUGGUCGCUGGCCUUCGCCGUGUAAAGCCCCUUCGACGAGUCGAGUUGUUUGGGAAUGCAGCUCUAAAUGGGAGGUAAAUUUCUUCUAAAGCUAAAUACUGGCCAGAGACCGAUAGCGCACAAGUAGAGUGAUCGAAAGAUGAAAAGCACUUUGGAAAGAGAGUCAAACAGCACGUGAAAUUGUUAAAAGGGAAGCGCUUGCAGCCAGACUUGCCUGUAGUUGCUCAUCCGGACUUUUGUCCGGUGCACUCUUCUAUAGGCAGGCCAGCAUCAGUUUGGGCGGUUGGAUAAAGGUCUCUGUCAUGUACCUCUCUUCGGGGAGAACUUAUAGGGGAGACGACAUGCAACCAGCCUGGACUGAGGUCCGCGCAUUUGCUAGGAUGCUGGCGUAAUGGCUGUAAGCGGCCCGUCUUGAAACACGGACCAAGGAGUCUAACAUCUAUGCGAGUGUUUGGGUGUCAAGCCCGAACGCGUAAUGAAAGUGAACGGAGGUGGGAACCUUUUCGGGGUGCACCAUCGACCGAUCCUGAUGUCUUCGGAUGGAUUUGAGUAAGAGCAUAGCUGUUGGGACCCGAAAGAUGGUGAACUAUGCUUGAAUAGGGUGAAGCCAGAGGAAACUCUGGUGGAGGCUCGCAGCGGUUCUGACGUGCAAAUCGAUCGUCAAAUUUGGGCAUAGGGGCGAAAGACUAAUCGAACUAUCUAGUAGCUGGUUCUGC